Molecule: long non-coding RNA, 396 nt
Filed under: Homo sapiens (human)
Lineage: Eukaryota; Metazoa; Chordata; Mammalia; Primates; Hominidae
Description: HSALNT0213966
Source: RNAcentral
CCUGCGCCCACUGUCUGGCAUUCCCUAGUGAGAUGAACCCGGUACCUCAGAUGGAAAUGCAGAAAUCACCCAUCUUCUGAGUCGCUCACGCUGGGAGCUGUAGACCGGAGCUGUUCCUAUUCGGCCAUCUUGGCUCCUCCCCUGACAUGAAGAGCACAAAAUUUUAAGACAAAAACUGAAAAAAACUUCCAAGUUUACAAAUAUUUUGGAAAUGUAAGGAGAUAGAUAAGAUUCGAAAGUUACAAUUUCUAUUGAAAACGUCAGUGCUCUAAAUUAUGGCACACAAGAUUUGAAUGAAUCAUAGAGUAGCCAAAUCAUGUAUCCAGAUCUUCUGGAAGACCUGUGGCAGUCUAUUGAAGAAGUGAGCAGUAGAAUCCUUGGGAAUGCUAUCAAUUU